CAGCCGCCGCGGUAAUGCGAAGGGUGCAAGCGUUAAUCGGAAUUACUGGGCGUAAAGCGUGCGUAGGCGGUUUGUUAAGUCUGCUGUGAAAUCCCCGGGCUCAACCUGGGAAUGGCAGUGGAUACUGGCUCGCUAGAGUGUGUCAGAGGAUGGUGGAAUGCCCGGUGUAGCGGUGAAAUGCGUAGAGAUCGGGAGGGACAUCAGUGGCGAAGGCGGCCAUCUGGGACAACACCGACGCUGAGGCACGAAAGCGUGGGGAGCAAACAGGAUUAGAUACCCGCGUAGUCCCUGUCUCUUAUAC
Molecule: ribosomal RNA, 301 nt
Filed under: uncultured bacterium
Lineage: Bacteria
Description: partial 16S ribosomal RNA
Rfam family: Bacterial small subunit ribosomal RNA
Source: RNAcentral